AUUCAUGCCCAUCAUUGGUG
RNAcentral lists this microRNA (20 nucleotides) under Spodoptera frugiperda (fall armyworm). RNAcentral describes it as "sfr-miR-10451-5p". The record is from miRBase by way of RNAcentral. Lineage: Eukaryota; Metazoa; Arthropoda; Insecta; Lepidoptera; Noctuidae.